This is a long non-coding RNA of Portunus trituberculatus (swimming crab), 1230 nucleotides long. RefSeq lists it as uncharacterized. Lineage: Eukaryota; Metazoa; Arthropoda; Malacostraca; Decapoda; Portunidae. The transcript is spliced from 4 exons. The record is from RefSeq and is a predicted model, not a curated record.
GAGAAAUGGCUAGACAUAAGCUAUACGUAAUGGAAUGUGUGACGCGAGUGAGGAGGUUUGAGACCUACGUGGCGUGGGCUACCACCGGCUUACACUUAAGGUAACAAUGUUUGUAUAGAACGAUGCUCACCGAGAGUGGUUAGUUAGUUAUUAAGUGUCUGUACUGCAAACAAGGGAGGGAGGAGGAGGGGGGAGUAGGAGAAGGAGGUGAAGCGGAAAGUAUUGUGGGACAUUGGAACGAUUUCUUCUGUAGACUUUAUGCAGAGAAGACGUGUGUGCCAGGAAGUGUGUCUAGCUGGUGCACUGCCUCGUCAUCAGUUUGUAAGGCGGGUGACUUCAGUGUAUCGCCGCUACGUGGCAGCUUUGUUCCUAAUCGAGAUGGAGGAAGCCUGAACAUCGGUCUGUGAUCACCCAGCUGCCUAACAUACCAGCCACAUUUACAUUCUAGUCUUGCCCAGGACGGAAUCCGUCCUCUCACCAGGAGUUGACGAUCCAAAGGCCUGACUCCACAGCGAUAGGGGGGCUCCUCUACUAUCACUACGCCUUCAUUGACAACGCCCACUACCACUGCCUCGCCACCGGUGCAACAUAAAGGAAGGACUCUGCCUUGCAUCGCACCACACGCACUGCGUACUCUUAACGCCGCCGCUGAGUGGGUGGUAGCGAGGAGUUGGUGAUCCAAAGGCUUGACUACAGAGAACCUCCGACUCCUGCACCAUCAGGGAGGGACUCUGGCUUCCCACGGCCUUCACAGACCCUUUCCCCAUUAUCACCACCACCACCAACCGCUACCGCCACCGUCGCUGUUACUGCCGCAGAGUGACUGCCUCGCAGCGCACCCCAGCGGCCCGGCAAACGCCUACCACCAUCAGCACCACCGCCGCCGCCGCCGUCCAGCGAGUUUCAGCUUCGCGUCGCACACAUUCUGGCACUCAAAACCUGCCGCCGCCGUCACCACCACCACCAAGAAUUCUUCGUGGAUUCUGCAUGGUACCUUGACCCUGCGCGGCCAUCACUUACUGGUACUCCUGGUGGUGGUGGCCAGAGAGGGAAGAGUUGCGGGUUGGCGUGGCAGUCAGUCUCGCUCGUUGUGGGUGGUGUAUGUAUCUGGACAGGUGUGGUGUUGUGGUGCCAUUACUCCAUUGUAAUAAUCUGUCUUCACGGCCUUAUUGUGUCGUCACUGUAAGAGCUGCUGUGUCACUACUGAAUAAUAAAUUGUUAAGAAAUCUU